GGAUGUGAGGGCAAUCUGGCUGCAACAUUUAUCAUCCCGUUGACUGCCAGGAUUGAUUCAGCUGAUCUGGCUGGCUACACGAGUGUCCCCUUCCUCCCUCACCACUCCAUGUGAUGUGCGUCCCUCGUGAAGCUGCGCACUGGGUCAAAGAGGAUGACCAUCCCUGAGAGUAGGACCCAUCUUCAUUAAAGGGUAUACCAGUAUUGGCGCUCCUCUGAUAGAAUCUCCAAAGAGCCAACUUCUCCUGCUAAAUGCCAUGCUGGUUGCAUUCCAGUGUGCUCUUGGUCUUAGGACAGAUCAACUCAGUGUCAUGAGUCAUCUCCCUUUUGGCAGAAAUCCCUAAACG
Unclassified non-coding RNA from Chlorocebus sabaeus (green monkey), 346 nucleotides. Its record names the gene 7SK. It matches the Rfam family "7SK RNA". Rfam says of the family: 7SK was discovered as an abundant small nuclear RNA in the mid-70s but a possible function has only recently been suggested. Two independent studies have found that 7SK RNA binds the CDK9/cyclin T complex (known as elongation factor P-TEFb). P-TEFb activates transcription by phosphorylating the C-terminal domain of RNA polymerase II. The record is from Ensembl. Lineage: Eukaryota; Metazoa; Chordata; Mammalia; Primates; Cercopithecidae.